Molecule: long non-coding RNA, 1014 nt
Organism: Lethenteron reissneri (Far Eastern brook lamprey)
Lineage: Eukaryota; Metazoa; Chordata; Hyperoartia; Petromyzontiformes; Petromyzontidae
Source: RefSeq, a predicted model, not a curated record
UCCGGGGCAUGGCCUCGAGAUCAACCAUGGGUGUCGUGUCUCGUGGAGCGAAGGGACGAUGUGUUGUUAAGAGCUGCGUUCGGCAUGAACUGACAGAGUAUCGCUGAAAGUUUAUUCUACAUUCAUCCUGAUGUUUUGAGUCGCUUGUGGAAUCGAGGGUUUGCGAUAAGUUGUAUUGUACCAAGCUAUCAGAGUUGUGUAAGAGGUGUGCUAAUACAAUUUACAAGUUUUGAGAGUAAGUGAUCCAGCCAGCGACGAGCAGCUCACAGCAGCAGCCCUCUUGGAAGAAGGGUGGAGAGCAGGAAAGUUGAGCAACGACAAGGCGAAGCCCCGAAGUGAGGGCGGGAGAGGUAACACAAUGCCAGUGCAAAACUGGCAGCUGCACGCCAAGGGCGAAAGCAAGGAGAGAGAAAGGAGAGAGCACGGAGCAGUGGAAAGAGCCUGAGCCAGCGCAAGCCCUGAAGUAAGGGCGGGUGUCCGUGUGAAGCUGGCAGCUGCACGAUCAAGGAGAGAGGACGGAGCAGUAGAAAGAGCCUGACCAGCCGCCCGUGAGCAAGAGUAUCAGCGCCAGCGAGAGUGCCGUGGGUUCGACCCACACACACACUGACCAGCACCAGCUGGGAACCAAUGCUAGAGUGAGGAGCGGCGACCAGCAGACAAGCUGCGCGCGCUAUCUGACGACGGAAUCAUCGCGCACCGCCGACGGCGAGCAUCAUGCCAACUCAACCAGCAGUAGAGAGAGCUGCAACGCCAAGAGGAAGAGUGCCGUCGCUUCUGAAAACAAGAGCAGUACAGCAACUCAAGCGGGCGUGGCCUGAUUGAUCAACUAAGCGAGAGAAUUGAAGCAAACGCCAUCAGGCGAGGGCAGGAGGCAAGGCCCUGCUUUGUAAAGUUACACCCGGACAUCGCUUCCAUGCUCGCUGCUACUCAAUUGACAUCCCUACGAGAGAGAGAGCGAGGCUCUACCUCAGUACACAACAACCACCACCACAACCACCACAGCCGCGAUGAGAA